Molecule: non-coding RNA, 59 nt
Organism: Strongylocentrotus purpuratus (purple sea urchin)
Lineage: Eukaryota; Metazoa; Echinodermata; Echinoidea; Camarodonta; Strongylocentrotidae
Source: Rfam
UGGCUCAGUUAGUAGAGCGUCCGCCUCACAACCGGGAGGUCGUGGGUUCGAACCCCGGC